CUCUCCUGCUCUGCCAUGGGAAGAUGUGCCUACUUCCCCUUUGCCUUCCACCGUGACUGUACAUUUCCUGAGGACUCCCUAGCCAUGCUUUCUGUACAGCCUGCUGAACUCUCUGCCCAAAUUUCAGCUGUCACAGAAUGAGUGAUCCUCAUAGUAUAAUGGAAAUGCAUCAUCUCAGUUUCCCCAUGGCCUGAAUGUCCAUACAAAAUGAGAGCCAGUAGAGAAAAACAGAGGACGUGAGGAGUUUUUAAAAAUUGAGGAAAAGUGGAAGGAAAAGUAAGGAUGAAGGUGAAGAUGAAGGAAUAUGUCAGAGAUGCUAGCACUGGCAUCCCCCACCACACAGUACCAUGUACUGCUAAAGAACUCUAGAACAUACAGGGUGUAGACGGCAGUCUUCUUGGGGAAAAAGAGGCUUCAGGAUUGCAAGAUUUCAGCUACUGUCUCUCCUCGGAGCAGGAUUCCAUCUUUUCCAUGGCUGGGGCCCUUGACACAUGUCACUGUGCACUGCUCUUCUCGCUGGGAAAAGGAAACUGAGGCCCAGAGAGGGCAAGUGAAUUUCCCAAGAGUGUCCAGAUGAUACGGAGCUGAGCUGGAAAGUGAGCCUGGAUCUCUCUGGUUCUGAAAGCUUUGCUCGAAAGCACAGGAUGACACCUCCAUUCAAUCAAUAAGCACUGAGACCCUUCCAUGGACUCAGCAGGUCCUGCUGUCCCUGAAGGUUGACACUCUCAUUUCAAACCACAGCGAGAACCCCAAAAGGAAACAGUGCAAGGAAAAUAAUGUGAUAUUUGAGAGGCAGCAUGGAUUAUUGGGGACAGGGUUCAUGUCCCUUCUCUCCCACACACGUGGCAUGAUGUUAAGCGGGUCACCUCACCUCUCCAGGGUUGUUUCCUCAACUGAGAAAAUGAGGGGGUUGAGAUGAACGCCAGCCCUGGGGUGCUCAAUGCUGCAGUCUAGGGUGGUGUGGACUGGAAUCAGAAUUCUUUCUCCUCCGCUCUGGGUGCUGACACAUGAUCUCUGGCUCUCACUCCCCACCCCUAAUCUUGCCCAUCUGAGUUUCAGGUUAUUUUUUCCUUCCUCCUGCUCUUCAAUUUCCUUAUUGAGGAAGCUCUUUCCUGCUGCCUCUGUCCCCGCUGGAGCUGUUUGAUCCAGUAGAGCCAGUCGAAGCCAAGGGGACCCUGACUUGAAUCUUGCUUUCUGACAUGCUGGCUGUGGCUUGCUUGGGACCUGAAUAAGAGCUUGCUUACUCCCGGUGUUCACCACAGCGGAACCAUGGGUGCAGAAAUGUAAUUCUCAACCAGCCCAGUUUAAUCAGCGAAAGACAAUAGAGCUUGCAGGCGGUGUCAUGCUGAGUAUCUGAACACACCAUGGCUGCUGUCGCCCUUUUCAUUAAAAUGAUUGAAAAUGUAUUUCUAAACAGAAGUGAGGGUCCCUGUCUAAAUCAAGCCGCUGUAUUGGGCUUAUUGUCCCGAUCUGAAGUGCUUCAGCUUCUAGUGCUUCUCAAUAGAAGUUCAUUAUUACAACGAUAAUAACAACUGUAUAGAUACACAGAAAAGAAGUUCCCAUUUCAUAAGGAAAAAAGAAACUCAUUCAAACCAAGAGAGAAUGAAAAUUGCUCUUGUUCAGCAGCUCUACAAUUCCUGCUUUCCCUUUCUGCUGGAAAGGAAGUUGAAUUUAAAAGCUUAUCUUGGUUCGAUUUUCUUUUUCCCUAAACCAAAAUAGAAUAGCUAUUUAGCUUGAAAAUUUGUAAGAGCUCAAGUCAAUUGGUUAACCAAACACACACACACACACACACACACACUUACAUGCGCAUCUUAAUAUCCUCAUUAUAUAAAAUCUCAAUCACCAAAAAUGACCCCCAAAAUUAUAAGACUCCAAUAUAUGAUUGAGCAAAGGACAUAAACAGAUGGUUCAUAAGGAGGAAAGACACAUGAUAAAAAAUAUGAAAAAAUUUUCAACACACAGAUAAUAAAAGAAAUUCAGAUGAUAACGAGAUAUUGUAGGUGCUAAUCAAAGUAUCAAAGAUUUUAAAAAUUAUAGCAAAAGAGUUCCUUGCUUUUGUGUAAUGAGUUCCCAGAUAAUAUGUGAAAUUCACUCAUCCUCUUCCAAAUCAACAUUACUGUCUGUGAAAUGAACAAUACAACCAAGCACACAGAUCCUAGCCUCUGCUGGGAAAAUCCCGUGUAAAUCCACCAUCCUUUUUGUUUCUUAAGUUCCUCCUUGGUAAAAAGUUGUUUGGCUCAUGCCUGUAAUCCCAGCACUUUGGGAGGCCGAGGCAGGCAGAUCACCUGAAGUCAGGAGCUCGAGACCAGCCUGGCCAACAGGGUGAAACCCCAUCUUUACUAAAAAUACAAAAAUUAGCUGGGCGUGGUGGCGAAUGCUUGUGAUCCCAGCUACUUGGGAGGCUGAAGCAGGAGAAUCACUUGAACCCGGGAGGCAGAGGUUGCAGUGAGCCGAGAUCGCGCCACUGCACUCCAGCCUGGGCAGAAGAGUGACACUCCAUCUCAAAAAAAAAAAAAAAAUGUUGUUUGUGUUCAGAUUCUGAAAUUUCACAAUUCUCCCCAGGUACUGUUUUUCUUUGCCCCAAAGCCUUUAAGUCUUCGUUGAUGGAUAUGUAGACACCUAAUAAGUAUUUGACCUGAAAGUGUCUUUCAAAGCAUAGAAUUCAGAUGGUGAUUUUACAAAUGAAGAGAGUGAGGCUCACACAUUCUGAAGGGGGGAGUCAGGCUUUUUACCAUAAAAGUUUUUCCUUGGGGUAAUGGUCAAUAUCCACCAAAAUCCAGGUGGCACAUGCUUGAUACCCUUCUGAAAAGACUUAGUCUACUUCACUACUGGUUUUAGCAGGGUAGAGCCAGGGUCUCAGAACACAAUGAGCUGCUCAGGUGAAAGAAGAUCACACUAGGAUUUCUGCUUUCUAAUGCACCAUCCUUUUUAAAUUUUCAUUUUUCUUACUGUUAUAAUGUAUAGGUUAGUAGAGCACUUUACUUCUUGGGGAUACAUAAUUAAAGUUGUUUUGCUGGUAGGAUAGUGUUAUCAAAAAUUUGCAGGCAGCUGGAAUAGUGAGAUGUGAAUGUGUCUGAUCUCGUGCAAUUCAGGAAGCAGGGCCUUCAGAGUGAAGGGAGGAAGGAAAGCUGGCUGUGGUCAGAGGAGAUGACCAGCAGAGCUCCUAAUAGAGGGCAAGAGUCACCUCCUCACCCCACAGGCUGCAUUGAGACUAAGGCAACUGGAAAGUUCAACUGAAUCACAAGGGCGUGCUGACAUGCUGGGGAAAAGCCAAAAUUUUUAAAGGUCAUCUUGCCAGAAAAGUGGCUGCUGCUUAGGUCCUGUCCUGGCACCCUGGGCCCAGGAUCCCAGGACUCAGCUCAUGGGGAGCAGAGGGCUGUGGCAUGCCAAGUCAAAGGUCUCAUGGAGAUGGUUCCAAUUGGGAAUCAAUGGCAGAGAUGCCAAGACAAGCUAAGGGGCAUGGCAAUCUGAGGAUCCAAGCCACCUAGCACAGACACAGGGACAGGCAAGGGAACUAGAGACCUUAGCAGCUUGUCAGAGGGGAAGCGGAAGGCAGCAGGGGCCCAGAAGCAAACUCCCUAUGUCAGAUAGAGGUGUGUGCAGUGAAAAUGAAGGGGGAACCAGAACCCCUUGCAGGAAAUGUCCAGUGGAACUCCAUGAAGUCCCUCGAGUCGUCUUUGAACCGCUGAGCCAGGUAUUAGAGGACCCACAGCACACUUCUGAGCCUCGUUUCUGUCUCUCUUACCUACCACAAACUCUGGACAAUCAGCUCGCACAUUUGUUCCUUUAUUCCCAAGGAGAACAUGAGGAAAGGACGUAGAUAUCACCCAAAUGUAUAAUUUACCAGGUAAGAAAAGCCCAAUGGCUUUCUAAUUAUUUCUGGAUGUCCCAGCAGCCUCUGUCAGGAGUGCAGGUGUAAGUAGCCUCAUGUGCCUUUGCUCCGGCCUCCUUGUGGGAGUCCAGUACCCCAACCCCAUCUUGGGAGAUGCCGCUGGUCCAACCUCAGGAUCUCCUAAUGGAGUCAAGAGGUAAGGCUGAUUUGAAUUCACCCUUCUUCUCCUUAAAGCUAGUGCAACUCACAGAAAAUUGAGAGCCAAAUGGGAAACAAACUGUCAGUUUUCCUAACGGGUAGGCAGGUGUGUCUUAACCCCCAAGGCUUUCUGGGGGAGCCAGAGAGGAGAAAGUGACUUAGACCUGAGGACAAAGGAGAUCCACCUGCUUCUCUAAUUGUAGACCUUAAGCCUGCCUGUCACAUGGACUGUAGCGUACUGAGCACAGGGGUGGUGCCGGGCAGGUACAGCUCCCAGCACUCUGCUGUGGACAUCCUAACUCGCUAGAAGUUGACUCAGUCACAAACUAUCUAAGUUUAUAGCUGAAGCUCUAGCACCUGUUCUAGAACAGGAGAAUCUGAAGGAGGAGAUGAACUGAAUUUAGCACUGAUUUUCUUUAAAAAUAUUUAUAGAAACUAUAACAUUUCUGAGUUAUCUAGAAAUGUUAUUUUUGUUUAGUUUGGCUUUCUUUUUUUUUGCUUUCAUCUGAAAAUUAAACAUUUUGAGGUAAUUGUAGAUUCACAUGCACUUGUAAGAAAUAAUACAGGGAGAUCCCUCUAUCUUUCACCCAGUUCCUCCAACUUGGUAGUAUCUUGCCAAACCAUUGUACUAUUUCAUACCAGGACAUUGACAUUGAUACCAUCAAAAUACAGACAAUUUCCUUGGCUACAAGAGUCCUCCACAUCCACUUCCCUCCUGCACCCACCCCUUCCUUAAUCCUUGGCAACCACUGUUCUCCAUAUCUAUAAUUUUGUCUUUGCAGGAAUGUUAUAUAAAUGGGAUUAUACAGUAUGUAAUCUUUUGGGAUUGCACUGUUUUUUUAUUUGCAGCAUAAUCCUCUGAAAGUUGUUGCAUGUAUCAAUAGCUUUUUAAUCUUUAUUGCUGAAUGGUAUUCCAGGGUAUGGCGUACUACAGUUUGUUUAACCAUCCACCUGUUGAAGGAUAUCUGGGCCGCUUCCAGUUUGGGCAAUUGCAAGAUGCUACAGACAUUGAUAUACAGAUUUCCAAAAGACCUUGGCUCAGGUGUCACUUUUGCAGAAAAGCAUUUACUGACUGUUGACUUGGCCAAAUCCCUGUGCUGUGUUUCCUAGUACGGUAAAUCAACUGUAUCCAGUAGUGGGACAGAUGCAGCAUGAAAGAAGAAAGUUACAAUUGCUUUAUCUGAUGCUGUCACUCAUGCCUGGUGUUGAGAGGCGCACAUUUUAAAAAGUCUAAUAGCUCCGACAUAUCUAGGAAACAGAUGGGAAACAAAUGAAGCAUUGAUGGAUUCGCAAAUUCCAGUUCUUUGAUAUUUGUCUGCCCAGGAAUGGGUGGGACAGAGAAAUGUAAGGGAAUAAUGAGGAUACGGGUGGGGAAAGGCUUGCAAUUUUUCCCGUUCUUCUUUGGAUAUGGACUGAAGGAAGGAUGUGGGGAGGAGGUGUUUAUCUUUUGCUUGUACUCUGAACUUUUCCAAAGUUACUGCAUUCCUUGGGAUAUAAAACUGUAAUCAAGAGUCUCUAAUGGAUAACUGCAAUUAUGCAUUGAGUCAUUCAACAAAUACACAUUAAUACUGACUAAAUUAAGCUCGAAUGGAACUUCAGGGCAAAAGAACAGAGAAAAUAAAAUACCACUAGAGAAGGGAUCUGUGCUCUUUCCUGGACUUAAAUCUCCCACAGCCAGCACGUUUGACAGUUAAACUAGUCAAGCAAAUUAGCACAGGCCCAGAGGAUGAAAUCAAGGUGGGGGCAGGUAAGGUUCACAUAAUAAACACUCUCCCUAGACCCUGGACCUAGGGACAAUACUUCAGGAAGAAUUUUUUUUAUUAAUCUCAUUUAUUCAUUCAUGUAUUCACCAAGUAGUUAUUGAAUACCUCCAUGUGCCAGUCACCUUCAUAGGCUCUGGGAACACAGAGACAAAUGGGGUGCAGCUUUUGCCUUCGAGGACCGCCUGAUAAUGGAGGAGCAUGCUUGUUGUACUGUCCCCACACUUCUUUUUUUUUUAAUUUUACUUUAUGUUCCCGGAUACAUGUGCAGAACUUGCAGGUUUGUUACACGGUAUACGUGUGCCAUGGUGGUUUGCUGCACCUUUUAACCUGUCAUCUAAGUUCUCUCCCCUCGCCUCCCGCCCCCCAACAGGCCCCGGUGUGUUUUUGUUCUUCUCCCUGUGUCCAUGUGUUCUCAUUGUUCAAGCCCCAACUUAUGAGUGAGAACAUGUGGUGUUUGGUUUUCUGUUCCUGUAUUAGUUUGCUGAGGAUGACGACUUUCAGCUCCAUCCAUGUGCCUGCAAAGGACAUGAUCUUGUCCCUUUUUAUGGCUGCAUAGUACGCCCCCUGCACUUCUAAUAAAGAUGGCGCCAGGAAGGAAAGCCCAGUUUGCCUCAUUCCAGAAUGCCCCAACUUCUGCCAAAGAGGAGGUUUCCUCCAUUCACCUGUCCAUUUGGAACACAAUGAAAAUACAGAAUAUGCAGAAUAUGCAGAAAAUACAGAAUAUACAGAAAUAGAUGUAUAUGAAUAUACAUCUAUUUAAGAAAAAUUCACAAGGCCCCAAACUACUCUAGCUUUCCUAGGAAGUAGAGAAGACCCCCUCAAAAAAAAACACUGGCAAACUGAGCCUGCUAUUGGGGAAGGAAAUUCAAGACCAGGAAGGUCAGGACAUGUAUUCAUUAAAUGGCUAUAACACCUCAAUCCAAAUGCAGAGAAAUCUGAUGUACACGCUCCAAGAUAAGCAUCUCUAAGGUACAGUCAGUGGUCAAUUUUUCAACAUUUAUUUAAUAUCUUGCUAUAUUUAUGGCAUCGUGAAAUAGAUGCUGUAUUCCUUCUCUGAAAAUUUUCAAUUGAGGUGGGGACAUGAAUAAAUGUAUUAACCCAUUUAUGCCGGAGGUUGCAAUUUUUGUUUUCUGAAAAAUCAGACCUUGGUGAUGACCUUGAGCGGUAGGAUAUAAAAACUCCCAAAAGCCUAGCGUUUUAAUAAUGGAACACUAGGCAUAAGUAGCUUAAAACAGCAUAGAAAAGUCAUGUAAACUAUACAACAGUCAUGUAGAUAUGGUGCAUAUGGAGACACAGGGUUCCUGGGAAGGGCAAACCAUGGUACAGAGUUUACCAGGGAAGAGUUCCUAGGAGAAAUGAGCUUGGAACUGGAUGUUGGAAGAUCAUCACCAUGUGUGGUGGGGCAAGUCUUCAGCCAAACUUCCCUGGGGCUUUUUUUACUCAUCAAAAAAUGAGUACAAUGCACACAGAUUACAUGAAUUUUGUAAGGAUAAAAUAUGACAACAUUAGUAUGGCAUCCAUGCACAUAGGAGGCACUAAUGAAUAUCACAUUCCUUUCCCUUUUCUAUUUUAUGCUUUCCAUACUUGAUAUUAUUUAAUGAUAGAAAUGUUGAUGAAAAUAAGGAAUAGUACACCUCUCACACUUUCUAUAUUGAGCAUGCAUUACUCUUAACACAGAAAAAAUAAAGCACAAGAUUAAAAUAGUGUUUUAUUUGUAGAGUUUUGGUCUGAAAGAAGUUAACAGGUCCUUAGUAGUCACUUCACAGCAGAAAAUCAAAUGAGGGCUUCCCAGCCACACAGAAAUGUUAUUUUAAUCUGAUGUUCAGUGCCCUUCAGUUGCUAGUUAGACCCGCUUAGACUGAAACAGAUGCCACAAAUGCAAUGCUAUGUUCACCACCCAGUCGCUUUCCAAACACAGGGUAAGGAUUCAGGUCACUGUCCCCCAUCGACAAAAGAGCUUGAGCAUCACUGUCAUUGCUUCAUGCAGUCACAGCCCCGCUGGGAGGGACAGCCAUGACCCAGGCAGGUCUUGCCGGUAUCGGUGGUCAGAGACCAGGGACAGAAGAUGCACUGCCUGGAGUUGUCUUCUCCCAGGCAGCGUGCAUGGCUGCCUUGCAAGCACAGGCUUGCCCCAUCCGAAGCUCCAUCUUUGCUCAGGCUCAGAGAGGAAAAAUUUGCCAGCUGCGAGUGAAAAAUGUUCAGACCUCGAAAUCUUUCUGCAGCCCAUACUGGGUCACACUUGCAAUGCCCAAUACAAUUUUUGGCUAAGAAAUGCUUGUAAUUCAGAGAUAAACCUACGAUUGCAGGUUAUAUCACGGCGAGGAAAAAUUUGCUUUCCAGAGAAAUAUCACUUAUCUCAGACUUUUUAAUUCCUCUGAAAAAAAUAGGGGUUUAAGAAAUGGUGGCUCAGCUAUGAGUUCCAUCUCCGGUUACUAAGGCUUAUGUUCUGUUACAGGCUCAAUUUUCCUCCCUAAAAAUGACAUUGAAGUCCUAACCCGCAGUACUUCAGAAUGAUUACAUUCUGGUGACAUCUCUUCAGAAACAGGGUCUUCUUAGAGGUAAUCAAUCUGAAAUGAGGUGACUAGGGUGGACCUUAAUCUAAAAUGACCAGUGUCCUUUUAAAGAGGGGAAUUUUGGACACAGAGGCAGACAUGCCGAGGAGGAAGACAACAUGAAGAAGCACAGGAAGAAGACGGCCAUCCACAAGCCAAGGAAUGCUUUGGCCAGCAGUGCCCAACCUUUUUGGCACCAGGGACCAGUUUCACGGAAGACAAUUUUUCCAUGACUGUGGGUGGGGGAGGGGGAGUGAAUAGUUUCAGGAUGAUUCAAGCACAUUACAUUUAUUGUGCACUUUAUUUCUAUUACUACUACAUUGUAAUAUGUAAUGAAAUAAUUAUAUAACUCACCAUAAUGUAGAAUCAGUGGGAGACCUGAGCUUGUUUUCCUGCAACUAGGCAGUCCCAUCUGGGGGUGAUGGGAGAAAGUGACAGAUCAUCCGGCCUUAGAUUCUCAUAAGGAGCAUGCAACCUAGAUCCCUAGAAUGCGCGGUUCACAAUAAAGUUGGCACUCCCGAGAGAACUGAAUGCUGCCACUGAUCUGACAGGAGGCAGAGCGGUGAUGCGAGCGAUGGAGAGUGGAUGUAAAUACAGAUGAAGCUUUGCUUGCUCGCCCACUGCUGUGUGGCCUGGUACUGGUCUGUGGCCCAGGGUUUGGGGACCCCUGCUUUAGGCUACCAGAAGCCAGGAGUAAGGCCUGAAAAAGAUGCUUCCCCAGUGCCUUCAGAGGAAGAAUGGCUUUGCGAACACCUUGAUUUCAGACUUCUGGCUUCUGUAGCUGUGAGACAAUCCAUUUCUGUCAUUCUUUUUUUUUUGAAAUGGAGUCUCACUCUAUCGCCAAGGCUGGAUUGCAGUGGCACGAUCUCGGCUCACUGCAAGCUCUGCCUCCCGGAUUCAUGCCAUUCUCCUGCCUCAGCCUCCCAAGUACCUGGGACUACAGGCGCCGGCCACCACGCCUGGCUAAUUUUUUUUUUUUGUUUUGUAUUUUUAGUAGAGAUGGGGUUUCACCAUGUUAGCCAGGAUGGUCUCGAUCUCCUGACCUCGUGAUCCGCCCACCUCGGCCUCCCAAAAUGCUGGGAUUACAGGUGUGAACCACUGCACCCUGCCACAUUUCUGUUCUUCUAAGCCACCCAGUUCAUGGUACUUUGUUAUGGCAUCCCUAGGAAAUGAACAUGUGUGCAGUAGAGCAUUUUCCCACUAAAAGGUAAAGACAUCCAAGUUCCACCUAGACAAUUACAGGGUUGCAAGACUCCUGGACAGGGGAAACAAACCAAAGAAAUCGCUCAUUGGAAAUAGGUGUGACCAGAUUUGGUGCUCUUCCCAUAAUGUGGGCUGGGGCACUUGGUUCUGUCCUCACCUUCAUGUACCUUCUGUUUUCUAUUUUAACAAAUAAAUCUCAAUUGCUUAGGGUACUCAGUUCCAUGAUGUGUUUGUUUUUCUGCAACUCAGCUCACCCUCUCCUCCUCAGAGAGGCAGACCUAAAGUUCCUGAGAACAGGGCACCCAUGUCAGAGACUUGUGGAAGAGGGACCAGGUCUCUGGGCUUCUCUGCUUCCUGCUGGAUUUUGCUGUUUUCUCUAGGGCUCUGUUUAAUGGUGCUGUGCCGGGAGAGUGAUUUCUGCACUAUCUUUCUGGAAUUGGGAGGGGCACAGAAGCAGGAAAAGUGAAUUCCAGGAAAGUUGUUGCAUGUUGGAAGCUGUGUUGUGGGGAAGUGACAAGUUGCUUGCUAUCUGAAUGGGGAUGGGAUCCUUUGUGAAGGCAGCAUGAAUCACCAACAGGUAGGAUUAGAUGGAUGAUGGUUGUAUUUGGAAUUGUAGCCACACCCUUGGGACUGCAGCCCUGUGAAGACUGAGGUUCUGACGAAAGUCAAGAAAAAUCUGCAUUGCAACUCUUCGAAGAGAAGAAUGUGACAUCUUGAUUACAUCAAGAGUGGCAGGGCUGGGACACCAGAGUUUCCGGAAUGGCUCCUCAGGGCUCCAGCUGCAACAAACUCGCUGUGCCAAUGUGCAUGCAGUUCCUGAUUCUAAUCAAAUAAGUAUCAUAACCGAGUUCACCCGAAAUAGAGUAUACUGCACAGAAACUUAAUAAUGGUGUCGUUUUCCAGAGGCAGCUGCAUAAAUCACAGGAGACUGAAUACAGGAGAAGAUGUAAGAAUCCAGUCAGCUUCUAUCAAACCAGACAUAAAAGACAUUUGCAGAUAUGUAAAACAAUGCCACUCUUCACAUUGCAUUUUUAAAAAAUAUUAUUUCCCAGAAAAUAUAUCAUCUAUGUUAAUAUGGAAUGGGGUUUGUUAUUCUUAUUUUAAGUAAGGUAUUAUAUAAAUAUUUUUAAUGUCUCAGUUUUAAUUUCUAAUGAAGUCAAUAUCAAUAGAUGUAAUCUAUAUAAACCAAAGUUCUCCGGGGUCUUCAAGAGUGUAAAGGAGUCCUGAGAUCAAAAGGGAUGAAAACCUCUGCCCUACCCUGGCCACCUAAGGGGCUGAAGCCCUCCAGGAGCAGUGCUCCCGGCUCUUGCUGCUGCCCCAGAGCUGAGGGUUUUGGAGCACUGGUGCCCUACAAAACGGAGAGACUGGAAGGAGUUUUCUGGGUCAUGAGGUUGGAACUGCUGGCAGAAGAUCACAGCAUAACUUUCUUCUGGGUUAUAGGAAGAAAUAUAUAAGUAGA
Molecule: long non-coding RNA, 11007 nt
Filed under: Homo sapiens (human)
Lineage: Eukaryota; Metazoa; Chordata; Mammalia; Primates; Hominidae
Description: non-protein coding LINC00589:15
Source: RNAcentral